RNAcentral lists this ribosomal RNA (254 nucleotides) under uncultured bacterium. Its description in RNAcentral is "partial 16S ribosomal RNA". It matches the Rfam family "Bacterial small subunit ribosomal RNA", at positions 524 to 776 of the family's 1533-position model. The record is from RNAcentral.
UACGGGAGGAGCAAGCGUUGUUCGGAUUUACUGGGCGUAAAGGGCGCGUAGGCGGUCAGCACAAGUCAGUUGUGAAAUCUCCGAGCUUAACUCGGAAAGGUCAACUGAUACUGUGCGACUAGAGUGCAGAAGGGGCAACUGGAAUUCUCGGUGUAGCGGUGAAAUGCGUAGAUAUCGAGAGGAACACCUGCGGCGAAGGCGGGUCUCUGGACAGUUCCUGACGCUGAGGCACGAAGGCCAGGGGAGCAAACGGG